This 513-nucleotide ribosomal RNA is filed under the name uncultured Bacillota bacterium. Its description in RNAcentral is "bacterial SSU rRNA". It matches the Rfam family "Bacterial small subunit ribosomal RNA", at positions 9 to 523 of the family's 1533-position model. The record is from RNAcentral. Lineage: Bacteria; Bacillati; Bacillota.
GAGUUUGAUCCUGGCUCAGGAUGAACGCUGGCGGCGUGCUUAACACAUGCAAGUCGAACGAGAGAAUUUAGAGGAAAACUUCGGUUAGAAUCUAGAGGAUCUAGUGGCGGACGGGUGAGUAACGCGUGGGAAACCUGCCUUAUACAGGGGAAUAGCCUCGGGAAACCGGGAUUAAUACCCCAUAAAGCCGUUUGUUCGCAUGAACAAAUGGCCAAAGAUUUAUCGGUAUAAGAUGGUCCCGCGUCCCAUUAGCUAGUUGGUGAGGUAACGGCCCACCAAGGCGACGAUGGGUAGCCGGCCUGAGAGGGUGAACGGCCACACUGGAACUGAGACACGGUCCAGACUCCUACGGGAGGCAGCAGUGGGGAAUAUUGCACAAUGGGGGAAACCCUGAUGCAGCGACGCCGCGUGAGCGAAGAAGGCUUUCGGGUCGUAAAGCUCUGUCCUAAGGGAAGAUAAUGACGGUACCUUAGGAGGAAGCCCCGGCUAACUACGUGCCAGCAGCCGCGGUAA